CAAGUGCUCGAUGAAAUGUUUCAAUCAAUUCAAUGAAUACAUCAAGGCCAGAAUAGUGCUGCCAUUCGAUCACCAACACUGCAGUCAACUGCUUCCAAUUCACCAAUUAGACAGAACUUGAACAAUUCCGAUUGGAAUGCGGCAAUGGUAUUCCAAUUCAAAUCACUAGUCAUUUGAAUUGCAGAAUUUCAACGAAUCAGCUCAAACGAUGAAUUGCAAAUCGGAUUCCAGAUCAAAACAAGAAAACAACUGAAGCAACACCAAAUCAAACAAAUUGUGCUUGUGCCAAAUCAAGUAACGAAUCAGGAAAUAGAAAAAAGAUCAAAGCAAAAACAUAAAAAAAAACUACCUGAUCAGAUAAGAACAAAUGAGAGUAGGUUUGCGUCCUCGGCGAAAUGCUGUUCCCAACCGCACCGGGAAGACACCGACACCAACCACUGGACCAGUUGCUCCCCAAAAGACUGAGAAUUCCUUGUGUGCUUUGCUGUAAAUGCCGGGUCAACGAAAGCACAACAUUAAGUUGUAGGAACAGAGUGAUGGGCACUACUUAC
This 551-nucleotide long non-coding RNA is filed under the name Phaseolus vulgaris (common bean). RNAcentral's name for it is "long non-coding RNA (PVUL_LNC003109)". The record is from RNAcentral. Lineage: Eukaryota; Viridiplantae; Streptophyta; Magnoliopsida; Fabales; Fabaceae.